This 471-nucleotide ribosomal RNA is filed under the name uncultured bacterium. RNAcentral's name for it is "bacterial SSU rRNA". It matches the Rfam family "Bacterial small subunit ribosomal RNA", at positions 333 to 793 of the family's 1533-position model. The record is from RNAcentral.
AGACUCCCUACGGGAGGCAGCAGUAGGGAAUUUUCCGCAAUGGACGAAAGUCUGACGGAGCAAUGCCGCGUGAGUGAUGAAGGUUUUCGAAUCGUAAAGCUCUGUUGUAAGGGAAGAAUAGCCAAGAAUAGGAAAUGAUUCUUGUCUGACGGUACCUUACCAGAAAGCCACGGCUAACUACGUGCCAGCAGCCCGCGGUAAUACGUAGGUGGCAAGCGUUAUCCGGAAUUAUUGGGCGUAAAGCGCAUGUAGGCGGCUCUUUAAGUCUGAUGUGAAAGCCUGUGGCUCAACCACAGAAUUGCAUUGGAUACUGGAGAGCUAGAAUCUUGGAGAGGUAAGUGGAAUUUCAUGUGUAGCGGUGGAAUGCGUAGAUAUAUGAAGGAACACCAAUGGCGAAGGCAGCUUACUGGACAAGUAUUGACGCUGAGAUGCGAAAGUGUGGGUAGCAAACAGGAUUAGAUACCCUGGUAG